RNAcentral lists this ribosomal RNA (455 nucleotides) under uncultured bacterium. Its description in RNAcentral is "bacterial SSU rRNA". It matches the Rfam family "Bacterial small subunit ribosomal RNA", at positions 8 to 507 of the family's 1533-position model. The record is from RNAcentral.
AGAGUUUGAUCAUGGCUCAGGACGAACGCUGGCGGUGUGCUUCACACAUGCAAGUCGAACGAGGUAGCAAUACCUAGUGGCGGACGGGUGAGUAACGCGUGGGAAUCUGCCUUGAGAUGGGGGAUAACGAGCCGAAAGGCUCGCUAAUACCGCAUAUGCCGAAAGGUGAAAGGAGUAAUCCGUCUUAAGAUGAGCCCGCGUCCGAUUAGCUAGUUGGUGGGGUAAAGGCCUACCAAGGCGACGAUCGGUAGCUGGCCUGAGAGGAUGAUCAGCCACAAUGGGACUGGGACACGGCCCAUACUCCUACGGGAGGCAGCAGUGGGGAAUUUUACGCAAUGGGGAAACCCUGACGUAGCGACACCGCGUGAGCGAAGAAGCCCUUUGGGGUGUAAAGCUCUGUCAGCUGGAACGAAAAAAUGACGGUACCAGCAGAGGAAGCAUCGGCUAACUACGUG